Long non-coding RNA from Thunnus maccoyii (southern bluefin tuna), 413 nucleotides. RefSeq lists it as uncharacterized. Lineage: Eukaryota; Metazoa; Chordata; Actinopteri; Scombriformes; Scombridae. The record is from RefSeq and is a predicted model, not a curated record. The transcript is spliced from 4 exons.
GAUAUAAAUAACCUUUCAGAGGCCGCUGAUGUUUGAAGUCGACUCUCCACUGAGUCUCGUCAGCGACAACAAUGAACCGAAGCGCCUCUGUGGUUCAAAGCAUGAAGACGUUUCAUUACCUCUUCGUAGACAUUACGCAGGAAGUUGAUUUCAUCAGUCAGAGCUCCCACUUUAUCCUCCAGAUCUGCUUUCACCAGCCUCAUUGUGUCGUGCUGAAGCAAAAGUUAAGACACAAUAGAGAAGAGACAGAAACCUCUUUCAUACAUGCAACAUGUUGGGGUUCAGUUAUCUGGGAAAGGUUGUAAUUUCUAUCAUUCACACACAUCAGUCCUCCACCAGGCCUUGCAUGUUCCUCAGCUCCCCGUCCAGUUUGGUCUUGUCGUUGUUGACCAGGUCCAUCUGGCGCCUCAGAC